This 73-nucleotide transfer RNA is filed under the name Stegodyphus mimosarum. It matches the Rfam family "tRNA". From Rfam's summary of the family: Transfer RNA (tRNA) molecules are approximately 80 nucleotides in length. Their secondary structure includes four short double-helical elements and three loops (D, anti-codon, and T loops). Lineage: Eukaryota; Metazoa; Arthropoda; Arachnida; Araneae; Eresidae. The record is from Rfam by way of RNAcentral.
GCCUUCGUGGUGUAGUGGUCAGCACGCUCGGCGCGUAUUCGAGAGGUCCGUGGUUCAAAUCCCGGCGAGGGCA